UUGAUUUGUUCUUCGUUCUUGAACUUGAACUUGAUUUUUUGAACUUGGACUUAAUUGCUUGAAGCUUGAAAUUCGUAGAGAAAUUUACAGCAUUUGAUCCGCGAGCUCUCUCUUCAUUUUGUUAUGACUUCUCGUGGUCUUUUUUGAGUUAUGAAGACCCUUAUUUACAGUUGUGGUGGGGGGAAGAGUUAUCGUAAGAACAAAAUCUUUCCGACCAAUCA
Molecule: long non-coding RNA, 221 nt
Filed under: Nicotiana benthamiana
Lineage: Eukaryota; Viridiplantae; Streptophyta; Magnoliopsida; Solanales; Solanaceae
Description: long non-coding RNA (NBEN_LNC018668)
Source: RNAcentral